RNAcentral lists this ribosomal RNA (252 nucleotides) under uncultured bacterium. Its description in RNAcentral is "partial 16S ribosomal RNA". It matches the Rfam family "Bacterial small subunit ribosomal RNA", at positions 524 to 776 of the family's 1533-position model. The record is from RNAcentral.
UACGUAGGGGGCAAGCGUUGUCCGGAACUAUUGGGCGUAAAGCGCGCGCAGGCGGCUAUUUAAGUCUGGUGUUUAAACCUUGGGCUCAACCUGGGGUCGCACUGGAAACUGGAUGGCUUGAGUACAGAAGAGGAAAGUGGAAUUCCACGUGUAGCGGUGAAAUGCGUAGAGAUGUGGAGGAACACCAGUGGCGAAAGCGACUUUCUGGGCUGUAACUGACGCUGAGGCGCGAAAGCGUGGGGAGCAAACAGG